RNAcentral lists this long non-coding RNA (1893 nucleotides) under Homo sapiens (human). Its description in RNAcentral is "non-protein coding lnc-NIN-1:1". The record is from RNAcentral. Lineage: Eukaryota; Metazoa; Chordata; Mammalia; Primates; Hominidae.
UUUUUUUUUUUUUUUUUUGAGACAGACUCUUGCUCUGUCGCCCAGGCUAGAAUGCAGUGGCAAUCUCGGCUUACUGCAACCUCCACCUCCUGGGUUCAAGCAAUUCUCCUGCCUCAACCUCCCAAGUAGCUGGGAUUACAGGCACCCACCACUGUGCCUGGCAAAUUUUUGUAUUUUUAGUAGAGACAGGGUUUCACCAUCUUGGCCAGGCUGGUCUCGAACUCCUGACCUCGUGAUCCACCCACCUCAGCCUCCCAAAGUGCUGGGAUUACAGGCGUGAGCCACCACAUCGGCCAAGGAGGACUCUUUCAAGGUGAUUUUAACUUGUUCCUUCAUAUUUAUUUUUAACUGCAGAAUCUGAAAAAACAGCUCUUGUUUUAUAUUAAAGGGAGAUCAAAAAGAAAGCCUGUUGCACUGCCAGAAACCAUCUAAAGUUGGGAUGCUUUUGGUGUCUAUAUGUUCAAAGUGUACACAAUAGUCUCUUGACUGUUUUUACUUUCCCAUCUGAAGAUGGGAAAUUAUACCACUUAAGCAUUUUAUAUUACCUUUUUCUUCUAGCACUUUUGCAGCAUUUGUUGCAACUCUGUAAAGCAAUGAAAAUUAGUACAUGUGUUAAGCAAUAACAGUACAAAAUGCAACUUCUGGUAUGAGCAUCUGAUAAAAGCUCUGGGCUCUCUGGUUAGAAAAAUGCAUAUAGACACAAAAUUUGCACGCUAUUUAAAAGGGUUCCACAGGCCCUAUACUAAGGGGGUCAUUUUCUUUCUUUCUUUCUUUUUUUUUUUUUUUUUUGGAGACAGAGCCUCACUCUGUCACCCAGGCUGGAGUGCAGCACUUUUGAAACUUUAUUUAAUCCUCACAACUGUACUGUAAAGUAGAUAUUAUCCCCAUUUUACGGAUAAACUGAGCCUUGUGGAGCUUAAGUAACUUAUUUAACAUCACCCAACUGGCUAGAACUAGAACGAAGAUUCACUCCUGGGUCUGCCCCUGUCCAAAUACUGCGCUUCCUCCCACUGCAUUUUAUAUCCGGGUGGCAAAACCUCAUUAGGAACUUGUAAAUACAAAUUAAACUAAUAACAAGGAGCUAAAUAUACCUUUUACAUAUCUGUUACAUUCCCUCCAAGAAAGUUAGCCAAGCGGCUAAGCAUCCAGGAAAAUGGGAAUAUGCAUGUGUGUUGCAGCACGUGUUGAAGGACCACUAGGCAAUACAACCCAAGAACCACAACUGCAACAAACCCUACUCUUAAGAAUUCAUUUCUAGGAAAAAGACAUGAAAGAAGAAAAAUCUAGAUGCUUAUAGUUUUCUGAAACAAUAUUAGUUAAAGCAAAUGCAGGGAGGAAAAAUCUUAUAUCCAAUAGCAGUGUAACAGUUAAGUAAACAAUUGCUUAUAAAUACAAUGGAGAAUGACACAACCUUUUAAACUGGCUAACUAUGAUGACUGUGAAAACAUGGAAGAAUGUCUAUAAAAUAGUGGGAAGUAAAAGAGCACAACCUAAACGUAUAUAUAGAUACAAUCAUAGUAACAAAAGCCUUUUAUAAGGAGAAGUAAAAACUAGGUGGGAAUGCAAAUAAAUGAAAAUAGCUGUAUUAGUCUGUUGCAGUGAUGAAUACAUGAAUGAAUGAAAAUUUAAUAAUGAAAAUUUAUUUUUUUAAAGAAAUCACCUAUCCAGAGGAGGAAAGGAAGGGCUAAGGAAGUUUGGUCCUGUUGGGCAAUGAUGGCACUGGCACUUGAUGCCCACGAUCUGCCUGGGGGCAAAGUCCUGCCAUACCAGCCACUCUCCUUCCCCACCCGUCCUAACUACCACAAGGAUCACCUGGCAGCAUUUCACACCUACAGCUCUUCUCCUUUCUGGGAACAUUGAGACAGCUCUGAGUGGGAGGGGAAAAGCACGCAC